Molecule: ribosomal RNA, 460 nt
Filed under: uncultured bacterium
Lineage: Bacteria
Description: partial 16S ribosomal RNA
Rfam family: Bacterial small subunit ribosomal RNA
Source: RNAcentral
CCUACGGGAGGCAGCAGUGAGGAAUAUUGGUCAAUGGGCGAGAGCCUGAACCAGCCAAGUCGCGUGAGUGAAGACGGUCCUAUGGAUUGUAAACCUCUUUUGUCGGGGAGCAAAAAGUCAUCGUGAGGCCACAAGUCAGAGUACCUGACGAAAAAGCAUCGGCUAACUCCGUGCCAGCGGCCGGGGUAAUACGGAGGAUGCGAGCAUUAUCCGGAUUUAUUGGGUUAAAAGGGUGCGUAGGCGGACUGGAAAGUCAGCGGUAAAAUCGAGGGGCUGAACCUCUUUCCGCCGUUGAAACUGUCGGUCUUGAGUGGGCGAGAAGUAUGCAGAAUGCGUGGUGUAGCGGUGAAAUGCAUAGAUAUCACGCAGAACUCCGAUUGCGAAGGCAGCAUACCGGCGCCCGACUGACGCUGAGGCACGAAAGCGUGGGUAGCGAACAGGAUUAGAUACCCCGGUAGUC